Molecule: unclassified non-coding RNA, 1582 nt
Filed under: Leishmania donovani
Lineage: Eukaryota; Euglenozoa; Kinetoplastea; Trypanosomatida; Trypanosomatidae
Description: gene:LdHU3.31.4550(CDS-product:hypothetical_prote in_conserved)
Source: RNAcentral
GUAUUGAGCUCUGCAUUCGGCCCCCCCCCUCCAGCUCCCCCACAAAUUCGUUUAAAUGGAGGAAUUCAAUGUACAGAAGCAGAGCAGCCUCAAGGCGGACAAGUGGACCAGGCGCGUCCUUUCUCUUCACCCCAAGCUUGGCAUCGCCGCCAUCACAGACCGUGGCAGGCCAGAGGACAGGUUUCACGAAUGCAUGCGCGUCUCCAGCAUGCAGAUUUGGCCGCAGUACAAUAAGAAGCACGUCAAGGAGAGCUUCUCGUCGAUGGAGGUGAUGCUGACGGUGCGCAUGAAGGGAAUUCCUGCAAAGGUGGGGGUGCGUGAGAAGCAGAGCGCCACCGGCCCAGUAAAGAUCUACCGCUACACGAUGAAGGGGCCCGAGGCGGAGAAGCACACGUGGAUGCUGCGCUUCAACAACUACGAAGACUUUGAAAAGGCCGUGAACCUCGUUCAAUCCAUGCAGACCGUUGAAAACAAUUCUCUCGUCCGGUAUGGCGAGACUCAUCGCCCGGAGGAGGGAUGCGAGGGAGUCGCCGACGAGGUAGAAGUGGAGGAAUUUCUUCCACGCCCGGUCAUGUACGGCAACGUGGAGGACGAACUGGCACCGAUUCGCGCACAGUGGCAGCAAGCACGGCCCAAGUAAGGCGCGCGCGCUGGGAUCGAAACGAGGCAAACAGCGAUACAUUGUCGGCUGAGCGGAUAAUCUUUCUGCUAUCGAGACCCGGGUCUUUUGCUUUUCACAGUUUUGCCUGAGGCACCUGCUCAGGGCGAUGGCGCCCCACCUCUUCUUUCGGUGUGCCUGCGGUUGCCGUGCUUUGCCGGGUGAUCGCUUGCACCCUUCGAGGAGAGCGCGUCGAGCUUGUUGUCGGGAGCGGAAGGUGCUCAGGUUUCUGUCGAUUUGUCUUGUAAUGCCUCCUGGCGCUCAUUCGCUUGGCGUGCUGUCUUUUCUUUCGUUUCUUUGUUCUCUUUCACAGUCUAUUGUAUUCCAUGUCGGCUGAGAAACCAACAACUCGCACAGACGCGCGCAUCCUACGCACGCCCUCGCGGAGAAGGACAUGCGAAGAUGAUGCCCCGAGACGCACGCGCUCUCGACUACACGAUCCUCCUCGCUCCGUCACUUCUUCCCCCCCCCCCCACCCCCACCCCACCCUCACCUUUUUGUGCUUUCAUGCACCCGCUCCACUGGUAGAAAAGCGCAUGCGCGAUAGACAACGGCCGUCGUGCCUGCUCGAGUGCCUCUCUGUAUGUGUCCGUGUGAGCGGGUGUGCCUCGCCCUCCCUUGCUGCUUCCUGCCCUCUCUCGCGUUCUUCUAUCUCCUUGCGCGUCUUCUCGAGCUGGCUCUCUUGAGGUGUUCCUCCCUUUCCAGUGCUCACGUUCUUUGUGCGCCGUUGUCUCGAAGGCUUGACUGAGAAGGACCUCUGCACAUGCGCCGACACGACUUUUUCUUUCUUCGCUUGCGUGCGUGUGUGUGUGUGUGUGUGUGUGUCUGUGUUCGGUCUCUGUCUCCACCGGCGAGAGUGUGUGCACCCUUCUGAGGGGCAAUCUCAUUCGCUCUUCUCUUUAUGCUGUAAAGCUCAUUUCUAUG